AACGUAGGGGGCGAGCGUUGCCCGGAUUCACUGGGCGUAAAGCGGGUGUAGGCGGUCUCUUAAGUCAGAUGUGAAAUCCUACGGCUCAACCGUGGAACUGCAUCUGAUACUGGGAGACUUGAGGACGGUAGAGGUCGGUGGAAUCCCCGGUGUACCGGUGAAAUGGGCAGAUAUCGGGGGGAACACCAGUGGCGAAGGCGGCCGACUGGGCCGAUCCUGACGCUGAGACCCGAAAGCCAGGGUAGCGAACCGG
Molecule: unclassified non-coding RNA, 253 nt
Filed under: uncultured Actinomycetes bacterium
Lineage: Bacteria; Bacillati; Actinomycetota; Actinomycetes
Description: uncultured actinobacterium contains 16S-23S intergenic spacer region
Rfam family: Bacterial small subunit ribosomal RNA
Source: RNAcentral